This 253-nucleotide ribosomal RNA is filed under the name uncultured bacterium. Its description in RNAcentral is "partial 16S ribosomal RNA". It matches the Rfam family "Bacterial small subunit ribosomal RNA", at positions 524 to 776 of the family's 1533-position model. The record is from RNAcentral.
UACAGAGGGUGCGAGCGUUAAUCGGAAUUACUGGGCGUAAAGCGCGCGUAGGCGGCUUUGCAAGUCGGGUGUGAAAUCCCCAGGCUCAACCUGGGAAUUGCAUUCGAGACUGCAUUGCUGGAGUACGGAAGAGGAAGGCGGAAUUCCCGGUGUAGCGGUGAAAUGCGUAGAUAUCGGGAGGAACAUCAGUGGCGAAGGCGGCCUUCUGGUCCAGUACUGACACUCAAGUGCGAAAGCGUGGGGAGCAAACAGG